Molecule: long non-coding RNA, 453 nt
Organism: Cyprinus carpio carpio
Lineage: Eukaryota; Metazoa; Chordata; Actinopteri; Cypriniformes; Cyprinidae
Source: Ensembl
AACAACGCAGUAAAUAAAACAAAACAGUUGUGCUGUCUGAAUUCCUUUCCAUUCCCUGCAGAGGAUCCACUGGUGAGCAAGUGACAUUAAACAAAAUUUCAAUGAAGAAACAAACUCAUCUGAUGCCUUGAUGGGACUGCUUGGAGGCCUCGACAGAAUCCACAUGAUUCCCAGUGCAUGAGAUGGUGCUGAAGGGGAAGCUAAUCCUCACCCUGUCAUCUCCCCCAAAACUUCCACUUCCAGAUGUUUCCUGUAUUGUCACUCAUGUCUGCUUAUACGAGGGCCAAAAGGCUUUAGUAUGAAGUUUACAUUGUCUGAAAUGUCUUCUCUUUGAAUUUUGAAGCUCAUCACUCUGGAAAACAUCAUAAUUAGGGUCUUUUCACCCAUUAGUAGCAUUGGUUUACAUUGUACAACAACCCAUUACACUCUGUUUGGCUAAUAAAAACUGGCGCU